This 818-nucleotide long non-coding RNA is filed under the name Homo sapiens (human). RNAcentral's name for it is "HSALNT0351638". The record is from RNAcentral. Lineage: Eukaryota; Metazoa; Chordata; Mammalia; Primates; Hominidae.
GAGGACUGCCCGAUGGCGGCGGCACUGUUCGAGCCGCCCUGCAGCGGUGUGGAGACUCCGACCAGUUGGGGCAGGCGGCUCAGGUCGCGGCCAGCCAGGUGUCCAUGGAUUGGCGGGGACAGCUCUGCUUAAGGAUGUAGUAGCUCUGCAGGUUGGCUAGUUUCCUGUUCUUCCCAACCUGCGCUAUGGACUUCAUCAGAUUUCAGCAUCAGAGAGAAUAUGGAAGGACAUCGACCCUAACUUCAUCCAGUGAGGAUUUCCACACACCAUACACUCUCUGAGAGUUCUCUUGGCUUUGUGUGCACACCUCCAGUGACAGGGAGCUCGCUAUGUCAUGAGGCAGCCUGCUCCCUUGUGGCUAUCACUGAACCAACUAUUAAGCCUUCUUAUACAAACAGUCCCUGACUUACUGUUAGACUUACAACUUUUUGAUUUUACAGUGGUGCAAAAGCAAUAUGCAUUCCAUAGAAACUGUAUUUCAAAUUUUGAAUUUUGAUCUUUUCCAGGCUAGCAACAUAUGAAGACCAACCUUCUAUUUUUAAAAUAGGCUUUGUGUUAGAUGCUUUUGCCCAACUAUAGGUUAAUGUAAAUGUUCUGAGAAUAUUUGAGGAAGGCUAGGCUAAACUGUGAUCUUUGGGAGCUUAGAUAUGUUAAGUGCAUUUUCAACUUACAAUAUUUUCAACUUACGAUGAGUUUAUUGGGAUGAAGCCCGUUGUAAGUAAAGGAGCAUCUGCAUUAAGCUAAAAUCCAUGUCUAUAACUUCCUCAGUAAUAUCAAGUUUGUUCCUUGGAGCCAGAGAAUAAACUGAAUCCUUUUCC